Molecule: long non-coding RNA, 3217 nt
Organism: Brassica napus (rape)
Lineage: Eukaryota; Viridiplantae; Streptophyta; Magnoliopsida; Brassicales; Brassicaceae
Exons: 3
Source: RefSeq, a predicted model, not a curated record
UAUUAUAAUUUUAUGAUUUUUGAUAUAUUUAUAAUUAUAUUAAAUAUAAAUAUUGUUAAUUUAUUAUUUGACUGUUACCGCAUUUGAUAGUUAACCAGUUAUAAGUCACCCGCAAACGUACUAAUUUUUAACCGUAGUAACAGUCGUACAAAUCUCUUAAAACCACUAGAAACCGCAACCGCCCGCAUCCGCAAACUUCCGCAACCGCAGCGUUUGAACCAGUUAGGCCCUAAGAAGUGGCAUGAAGGACGACACUCGACGUUUCUAAAGACUCAAAGCGAUACCGUCACACCAAACUAUGCUUUAAGAAGCCUUAUAGCUCAAUUAUGUGAAUCCAAUUACAUCAAACCUGUAAUCCUCGUCUCAAGGAUUUUACCCUCGUCUCGAAAAUAUUGCUUUCCACCUUCACAAUAGUACCUUUUCUGUUUAAUACUUGUUUUAUUCAAAGAACUAAUCUUCUUACAAAAAAACUUACUUCAAACGAAAACCGAAUAAAAUGAACCAUAGUCAUAGAUAACUUAAGGAAAAGUUUUAGAAAUGAAAUCUCAAAUGUGUGGCACCACCCAUGACUCAUACUUUUACAAAAGGAUGGGUGAGUAAUGGAAAUUACUCAGUAAGAAUAUGUUCAAAGAACCUACGAACUCAUCACAUAACAAGCAAGAAAACAAGCACAGUUAUAACUGAUAUCACCUAACAUACAACAUUCAACCUAGAUCUCUAGGACUUAUCUGCUCUUGACCCGUUGGCUCAACUGGCACUUUCCACCCCGUGUCUCCUAUGUAACUACCCGGUCGUGGCCCAUUAGCCCCUCCGGAACUGUCCACCCUCCAGUACAAUAGUCACUUAUGCCCAGAUUCGGUGUCACUUCAUCAUACAUCACAUCAUCCCUAUCGUUCUUCUACACAAGUCAUUAUUCCAAUCAUUAUCAUCACACAACUCAUAACCAUAAUCAUUCUCAUUCACGCAUACCAUUUAACAACCUAACAUCAUCUAGGUGUUUUCCAACACAUCAAAAAACAUCAACAACUAAAUCUAACUGUUCAUCUCAUAAACACAAUCAUCAACAAUAUCUAAACAACAUUAACAAAGGACCCACAAUUAAUGGGUCAUCACCUGGAAAGUAGAUGUCGAGAAAAAAGUAAAUCUAAAACAUAGAUCUGAAAGUGAAAAGCAAACAUCACAUAAAACAACAAUGAACCAAACGCGGGGCUCGAUGGUGGCGCCACGACGGAUGGCACGAGGAGAGAGAGAGAGAGAGAGAGAGAGAGAGAGAGAGAGAGAGAGAGAGAGAGAGAGAGAGAGAGAGAGAGAGAGAGAGAUUAAGAAGAAAAUUGUGUGCAAUAAACUUUUAUCGUAGUCUAAUAUCUUUCGGUGGUGCAGGACGGGCAUCCACCAUUGCCUGGGGUGGGGACAUGGGGUGACACUGCCGCAGUAUAUGUCAAUGGAGAUUACGAAGCCUCCUCAAUGAAGAAAUGACUUUCCUUAUAACUAAAACAUUUUGGUAUGAUUGUCAAGUUCUAAGCUCAACUUCAUUUCUUUUAACGGACAAACAAUCAUGUUCAGAAGAACACAUUUUUGUUUUCAAGUUUCUACCACUCAUGAUCGGCUACUUUGCAUUGUCUAUCCCAUUAGGAUUAUCUAUCUACUGGUUGGUUUCCCUCACCUUGAAACUUUCAUCUAGCCAUUUUGUUCAUGUUCCUGAUCUACACAUGUGUAAAUUGACCAUAAGACAGAUUAUUCCUCUAUUUUAAGAUAUGUACGCGAACAAACAUGAAAGGUAGUUGGCUUCAUGCUCAGUGUAUAUACGAAGCUAGUUGUUGAAUUGCAUAUCUUAAAUGUUGCGUCUUAAUGUUUUAACAUUCAAAUUUAUUUUAGGUUUACAAACAAUGUACUUAGCACUGCCCAACAAAGUAUGGCUGCGUAAACUAGGCGGUGCAACGCCUGCGAUUUAGAAAAUUAAAAGAACAAGAGAAGCGCAGCAAAAAGAACAAAGAAGUUGCGAAAGAUACAGUCGAACUGCUAAAAUCUUAGUCUUAAUCAGAAGAAGGGUCGGAUGAUGAGGAAGAAGAGAUUCGGGAAGGAGUGUUGGCUUCGAGCACAAGCAAGCCAGUUCUUGAGGUUGGAAACGCACUGUAUAUAACAAGCAGAACUGCAGUAGUUGAUCAAAGUAAAUUGAUUGUGUUUCUUAUGUGAUUCGUCUUAUUACAAAUGUUAUAAACAACGUAAAUGUCAGUACUAUUGUGACUUCCAAAAUGGUGUAAGCAUAUCUUUGUUGUAAAAUUAUGAAUUUGACAGAUGCAUGUUUUCCUAAUGUAUAAACGGCUUAUACAAUUGUUUAUAGAGGAAAGCUAAACAAAUUUAGGCAAUAUUACACAUCUAAUAUACCUGAAUGUGCGUAACCACUAAUUAUUGUAAGCUAAGCACCGUUUAGUCAAACUGGGAAAUGGGAAAUCUAGUUGUAGUAGCUUACUUUAUCGUAUUCCUAGCAUUGGCAAGCAGUUCUGCAAAAGUUUAGGAUUAACGAGGCCAAGAAAGGUUCGCACGAUUCUCGAAGUUGCACAAGCAGACAAAUACCUCUCUUGCUUUGUUGUUUUGUUGUUUGUCCUUUUGUUGUGUUUGGCAAAGAACCCCGUUAGUAACAUGAACAUGUAAAACUUGUCAGUCUUAGCCUUAUUGCCCCUAAACUCAGAAGAAGAAAAAUGGCAUAUGACUCGUGACUCACAAGUCACACAAAGCAACAUGUGUUAUAGGUUAGAAAUUCAGAGAUAUUUUUUUUAUUAAAUAAAAUAUAUGGCUUCUAUUAUAAACUCCAUUCUAUCAAUUUUGUUAUCGAGUUUAGAGUCAAGACUGUUUUGUUUAGACUUGAGAGAGUUUCGUCCCGUUUCACCAAGUUUCAAAUUUCUGUAUAUAGCUAAAUAUAUUUCCUACAUGGGAUCAUUAUAAACUAACACACAUUUGCUAGAUACCUUAACUAAAUUGUAACUGUAUUGUAUAUAUAUAUGGUUAUAAUUACAGAUUAUAUGUUUCUACAAUAAUAUAUCAAAUUACAAUAUUACUACACUCUACAGAUACUUAUGUUUUAUUCGUAUUAAGUGUAAAGAUGAUAUAACUUAGGACAAUUGUCAAUAAUAACACAUUUUAAAGUUUAUGUCUCAAAAAUAGCACUAGAAUGAGAAAAUCACAAAAAUGACAUUCAUUAAAGGGUAAAAUAUCUCUA